GGACCCGUAGCUCAGCUGGAUAGAGCAUUUGACUACGAAUCAAAAGGUCGGGCGUUCGAAUCGCUCCGGGUCCUCCA
This 77-nucleotide transfer RNA is filed under the name Paracoccaceae bacterium. Its description in RNAcentral is "Rhodobacteraceae bacterium tRNA-Arg". It matches the Rfam family "tRNA". From Rfam's summary of the family: Transfer RNA (tRNA) molecules are approximately 80 nucleotides in length. Lineage: Bacteria; Pseudomonadati; Pseudomonadota; Alphaproteobacteria; Rhodobacterales; Paracoccaceae. The record is from RNAcentral.